RNAcentral lists this transfer RNA (75 nucleotides) under Streptomyces parvus. RNAcentral describes it as "tRNA-Arg". The record is from RNAcentral. Lineage: Bacteria; Bacillati; Actinomycetota; Actinomycetes; Kitasatosporales; Streptomycetaceae.
GCCCCAGCUCAGCGGCAGGAUCCCCCGGCCUCUCUCCUAAAGCGGGUGUCGCAGGUUCGAAUCCUGCCGGGGGCA